Cloeon dipterum is the source of this 1987-nucleotide long non-coding RNA. RefSeq lists it as uncharacterized. NCBI's taxonomy places the organism in Eukaryota, Metazoa, Arthropoda, Insecta, Ephemeroptera, Baetidae. The record is from RefSeq and is a predicted model, not a curated record. The transcript has 5 exons.
UUGGCCCGUGAGGCCUAUACUCUGGUAUCAAAAGAAAGCUUCUUAAAUUUUAAUAAGAAGAGUACUCUGAAAAAAGUCGAAAAUAUAAUCGGAAGUGGUGCAAAGUUAGCAUUUUCAUGCUGGCACCUUUUUGAGUGUAGCGCGCCGUUAGCGUGGUCACGUGACAGAAAUAUGGCCGCCGUGCAUGACAACACAUGGAACUAACCGCAACAGUGCUACUAUGUACGCAAACCAUCGUUCGAAGUUAUAAAUCGUGAUAGAACGUUCAUCUUUCCUAUUAAUUACAAGAUAAUUAAUUUAUCUCGUGUUCAACAGACGGUAAAAACAAAAGGAAUGCUGGCAUACGAAGCAUUAUGUGUUAUAUUAUAAUACGCUGGCGAAUGGCGAAGCUUGGUCCUCGCCAAAUUUUCUGAAAAGACGUGUGUGAAAGAGACGCAGAGCAUAUUUGGCAAAUUUCUGCUGCCAGUUGAGUGUGCCGCAUGAAACACAGAUCAAAAAAAACCGUAGAAAAGCGGAUGACAUGCUUCGCCACCAGUUACAAGAAGAAGAAAGGAGGGUGAGUGAAGGAGCAGAGAGUGUUUGUGGAAUUUCUGAUGCCAGUGCCUUUUGCCACAUGAAAAGAGAUCAACAGAAAGUGUCGAAAAGUGGAUGACAUGCUUCGCCACCAGUUACUAGAAGAAGGAAGGAGGGUGAGUGAAGGAGCAGAGAGUGUUUGUGGAAUUUCUGAUGCCAGUGCCUUUUGCCACAUGAAAAGAGAUCAACAGAAAGUGUCGAAAAGUGGAUGACAUGCUUCGCCACCAGUUACUAGAAGAAGGAAGGAGUUGAGCAAGGCAGGGUUUCAGUUAUCAUGUACUGUUCUAAUUUUUCAGGGGUGAGUGAAGGAGCAGAGAGUGUUUGUGGAAUUUCUGAUGCCAGUGCCUUUUGCCACAUGAAAAGAGAUCAACAGAAAGUGUCGAAAAGUGGAUGACAUGCUUCGCCACCAGUUACUAGAAGAAGGAAGGAGUUGAGCAAGGCAGGGUUUCAGUUAUCAUGUACUGUUCUAAUUUUUCAGGGGUGAGUGAAGGAGCAGAGAGUGUUUGUGGAAUUUCUGAUGCCAGUGCCUUUUGCCACAUGAAAAGAGAUCAACAGAAAGUGUCGAAAAGUGGAUGACAUGCUUCGCCACCAGUUACUAGAAGAAAGGAGUUGAGCAAGGCAGGGUUUCAGUUAUCAUGUACUGUUCUAAUUUUUCAGGGGUGAGUGAAGGAGCAGAGAGUGUUUGUGGAAUUUCUGAUGCCAGUGCCUUUUGCCACAUGAAAAGAGAUCAACAGAAAGUGUCGAAAAGUGGAUGACAUGCUUCGCCACCAGUUACUAGAAGAAGGAAGGAGUUGAGCAAGGCAGGGUUUCAGUUAUCAUGUACUGUUCUAAUUUUUCAGGGGUGAGUGAAGGAGCAGAGAGUGUUUGUGGAAUUUCUGAUGCCAGUGCCUUUUGCCACAUGAAAAGAGAUCAACAGAAAGUGUCGAAAAGUGGAUGACAUGCUUCGCCACCAGUUACUAGAAGAAGGAAGGAGUUGAGCAAGGCAGGGUUUCAGUUAUCAUGUACUGUUCUAAUUUUUCAGGGGUGAGUGAAGGAGCAGAGAGUGUUUGUGGAAUUUCUGAUGCCAGUGCCUUUUGCCACAUGAAAAGAGAUCAACAGAAAGUGUCGAAAAGUGGAUGACAUGCUUCGCCUGCUGUGGCCACCAGUUACUAGAGGGGUGAGUGAAGGAGCAGAGAGUGUUUGUGGAAUUUCUGAUGCCAGUGCCUUUUGCCACAUGAAAAGAGAUCAACAGAAAGUGUCGAAAAGUGGAUGACAUGCUUCGCCACCAGUUACUAGAAGAAAGGAGUUGAGCAAGGCAGGGUUUCAGUUAUCAUGUACUGUUCUAAUUUUUCAGGGGUGAGUGAAGGAGCAGAGAGUGUUUGUGGAAUUUUUGAUGCCAGUGCCUUUUGCCACAUGAAAAGAGAUCAACAGAAAG